This 253-nucleotide ribosomal RNA is filed under the name uncultured bacterium. RNAcentral's name for it is "partial 16S ribosomal RNA". It matches the Rfam family "Bacterial small subunit ribosomal RNA", at positions 524 to 776 of the family's 1533-position model. The record is from RNAcentral.
GACGAACCGAGCGACCGUUGUUCGGAAUCACUGGGCUUAAAGGGCGCGUAGGCGGGCUGUCAAGUCUGGGGUGAAAUCCCGCGGCUCAACCGUGGAACUGCCUUAGAUACUGACGGCCUCGAGGGAGGUAGGGGCGAGCGGAACUGUGAGUGGAGCGGUGAAAUGCGUUGAUAUUCACAGGAACUCCGGUGGCGAAGGCGGCUCGCUGGACCUUUUCUGACGCUGAGGCGCGAAAGCUAGGGGAGCAAACGGG